ACCCGGCUAGCUCAGUCAGUGGAGCAUGCGACUCUUGAUCUCAAGGUUGUGAGUUUGAGUCCCACAUUGGGUG
Molecule: transfer RNA, 73 nt
Filed under: Ailuropoda melanoleuca (giant panda)
Lineage: Eukaryota; Metazoa; Chordata; Mammalia; Carnivora; Ursidae
Rfam family: tRNA
About the family: Transfer RNA (tRNA) molecules are approximately 80 nucleotides in length.
Source: Rfam by way of RNAcentral